Lagopus leucura (white-tailed ptarmigan) is the source of this 692-nucleotide long non-coding RNA. RefSeq lists it as uncharacterized. The record is from RefSeq and is a predicted model, not a curated record. Lineage: Eukaryota; Metazoa; Chordata; Aves; Galliformes; Phasianidae. The transcript has 4 exons.
GGAGCCUGGCUGCCCCUCCUGGAGCUCAGUUCAGGGCGGACUGCGACAGGGCAGGGGUUUGUUUCUGGAAGGUUCUCCGCUGCAGAGUGGGUUCUGCAGGUGAAUCCUUGGAGAUGGUCAGCUCGUGCUGGAAGUUGGUGGUGUCACUGUAUGAAUGAAGGUCAGUUCAGGAGCAGCUGCUGAUGGAAGGAAUGAAGUCCACGUUAAUGAGCUGAAGCAUCUCCUGAUUGCUGGAGAUUUUGUUGGAAUUUUAAAUCGCAUGGCAAGAAUUCGGACAGCAGCCUACGCUUACAAUCAAGUUGAGGUUUUAAACUGUGUGUGUGUCAGGUUAUUGUUGUUAGGUACUGUGAAAAAUACGAAGAGGAAUUAACUGCUGCAGAGACAUUUCAGUAAGGAGAAGUUGAUGCUUUAGAUGCGCCCUGCUGCCUGCUUUUGUUUUCACUCUGAAGCGCAGAGGGGUUGCCGGGUGUUCAUUACUGGCCAGUCUAGCUGCCGGAAUGUUGGGCCAGGUGCGUGACCUGCUGCAGCCAUCUUCCUCUGCUCUGCUAGUGGCUCUUCUGGAGUGACAGAAUCCAGCUGCAGUAACUGGAUUCCCGACUUCUGGAGUCCGCUCCCCCAUUUUGAUCCCCAGUAUUCCCCACUUGGACCCCCUUUAUGUCCCAUACCAGCCCUCCCCCCCCCCCUCCCUCCAU